RNAcentral lists this long non-coding RNA (334 nucleotides) under Ananas comosus (pineapple). RNAcentral describes it as "long non-coding RNA (ACOM_LNC018229)". The record is from RNAcentral. Lineage: Eukaryota; Viridiplantae; Streptophyta; Magnoliopsida; Poales; Bromeliaceae.
CUGAUUAGUGAAUAAGGUAUAUUGAUCUUUUUACUCAUCUUUUAUUAUUUGUAAUAAUAGAAAGGAAGGAGAUAAUCGUUGAAGAUUUUUGGAAGGAUAUUUUUAUAUAAUUCUAACAAUUAGAGCUUCUGAAAGAACAUAUUUGUGAUGGCAAAAAUAUCAUUUCAUUUAUUUUUUGUUAGAAAAAUAAACAGUGUUCUAACGGUGACAAAUCAUAGGGACAAAUAUGAAUAUCACCAAAUUUCUUUAGAGAUAAAUAUAAAAAAGUUGAAAUUUAUAGGGAUAUAUUUAUUUUUUUCGAGAGAAUAUAGAGAUAUAUUUAUUAUUCGAUAUU